GAUCACUAGUGAGGAUCUGAAAGAAAACGAAGCAUAAACAGACGUGAGCUACACGGCUCAGUAAGUAAUCCUGCAUAAUCCUACCGGAUCAACUAGUAGGCUAAACAUGUAAAUCAGGGUUUGAGAAGCUGACAUGCAUAUUUAUCUAAUAAUCAUCAUGGCAUAAUAUGUAUGCAAUUUAAACAAAGCAGUAGUGCAAAUCACAAAAAUUUUCAUAAAAUAUGCAUAUGAAACCGUGCCCCCGGCAUGCCGUGGUCCAUUCUCUCGGAUGCUACUGC
RNAcentral lists this long non-coding RNA (278 nucleotides) under Phoenix dactylifera (date palm). Its description in RNAcentral is "long non-coding RNA (PDAC_LNC020483)". The record is from RNAcentral. Lineage: Eukaryota; Viridiplantae; Streptophyta; Magnoliopsida; Arecales; Arecaceae.